CCUACGGGAGACAGCAGUGGGGAAUAUUGCGCAAUGGGGGAAACCCUGAUGCAGCGACGCCGCGUGAGUGAAGAAGGAUUUCGGAAUGUAAAGCUCUAUCAGCAGGGAAGAACAUGACGGUAACUAACUAAGAAUCCCCUGACAACAACGUGCCAGCAGCCGCGGUAUUACGUAGGGGGCAAGCGUGAUGCGGAUUUAUGGGGUGUAACGUGAGCGGAGACGACAGGGCAAGUCUGAUGUGAAAGCCCUCGGUCCAACUGGGGGACAACCUUGGAAACUGGCAGGCUAGAGUGCUGGAGAGGAGAGCGGAAUUCCAUGUGUAGCGGUGAAAUGCGUAGAUAUAUGGAGGAACACCAGUGGCGAAGGCGGCUUUCUGGACAGUAACUGACGCUGAGGCUCGAAAGCGUGGGGAGCAAACAGGAUUAGAUACCCGGGUAGUC
Molecule: ribosomal RNA, 440 nt
Filed under: uncultured bacterium
Lineage: Bacteria
Description: partial 16S ribosomal RNA
Rfam family: Bacterial small subunit ribosomal RNA
Source: RNAcentral